Molecule: long non-coding RNA, 495 nt
Organism: Podarcis raffonei (Aeolian wall lizard)
Lineage: Eukaryota; Metazoa; Chordata; Lepidosauria; Squamata; Lacertidae
Exons: 2
Source: RefSeq, a predicted model, not a curated record
GGAGAGUGCUUUUGUGCUUCUGCCCUGUUUGGGGGCUUCCCACAGAGGCUGCCCACUGUAAGAAUGCAAUGCUGAAAUAGAUGCUGCGAGUCCAGACAGACUAGCAGAAUCCAACAUGACUGGCACAGCUACAAUUGUGCAAGACAGCAAUGGUAACUCUAAACUCCCAUGCUGAGAAGCAUCUCUCCUCUCUGAGGCACCUCCUGCUGUGAUUCCUGAUUUGCUGCUACCGUUCUGCAAGAAGCAACAUCUGGAAGAAUCUUUAGAGUGAUUGAUCUGCAUUUCAUACCUCCACUUUGCCAGACCAGAGGAAUCAGAAAUAGCAUUUUUUGGGGAAACAUUGUAUACCAUAAAAAGACAAUUAGGAUGCCUCUUUCUACUCUGCCUAACAUUAUGUUUGUACUUGGAAUAGUUUUGCUAUUCUAAGGAUUAUCUGACAUUAAGUGAAGAGCUUUAAGAGUUUUAUGAACUGAAUAAAAUGAUAUUGCAAACUGC